This 499-nucleotide ribosomal RNA is filed under the name uncultured bacterium. RNAcentral's name for it is "partial 16S ribosomal RNA". It matches the Rfam family "Bacterial small subunit ribosomal RNA", at positions 899 to 1397 of the family's 1533-position model. The record is from RNAcentral.
ACUCAAAUGAAUUGACGGGGGCCCGCACAAGCGGUGGAGCAUGUGGUUCAAUUCGACGCAACGCGAAGAACCUUACCUGGGCUCGAACGGCUUCUCAACGAUCGUAGAAAUACGGUUACCCCGCAAGGGGGUGGAGUCGAGGUGCUGCAUGGCUGUCGUCAGCUCGUGUCGUGAGAUGUUGGGUUAAGUCCCGCAACGAGCGCAACCCUCGCCCUUAGUUGCUAGUCCGCAAGGACGCACUCUAGGGGGACUGCCACGGAUAACGUGGAGGAAGGUGAGGAUGACGUCAAGUCCUCAUGGCCUUUAUGUCCAGGGCUACACACGUGCUACAAUGGCCAGUACAAUCCGUCGCCAACCCGCAAGGGGGAGCCAAUCGGAAAAAGCUGGCCUCAGUUCGGAUUGCAGUCUGCAACUCGGCUGCAUGAAGCUGGAAUCGCUAGUAAUGGUGGAUCAGCAUGCCACCGUGAAUACGUUCCCGGGCCUUGUACACACCGCCCGU